Molecule: ribosomal RNA, 236 nt
Filed under: uncultured bacterium
Lineage: Bacteria
Description: partial 16S ribosomal RNA
Rfam family: Bacterial small subunit ribosomal RNA
Source: RNAcentral
CGCGUGGGUAAUCUGCCCUUGAAUUUGGGAUAACACUUCGAAAGGGGUGCUAAUACCGGAUAAUAUCUUUUUUGUUGCGGCAAAGAAGAUCAAAGAUAGCCUCUUCUUGAAAGCUAUUGUUUGGGGAUGAGCCCGCGUACCAUUAGCUUGUUGGUGGGGUAAUGGCCUACCAAGGCGACGAUGGUUAGCUGGUCUGAGAGGAUGAUCAGCCACACUGGAACUGGAACACGGUCCAG